Molecule: ribosomal RNA, 468 nt
Filed under: uncultured bacterium
Lineage: Bacteria
Description: partial 16S ribosomal RNA
Rfam family: Bacterial small subunit ribosomal RNA
Source: RNAcentral
GACGAACGCUGGCGGCGUGCUUAACACAUGCAAGUCGAACGGAAAGGCCCUGCUUGCCGGGUGCUCGAGUGGCGAACGGGUGAGUAACACGUGGGUGAUCUGCCCCUUACUUUGGGAUAAGCCUGGGAAACUGGGUCUAAUACUGGAUAGGACCAUGCUGUAGGUGGUGUGGUGGAAAGAUUAGUUUCGGUAAGGGAUGAGCUCGCGGCCUAUCAGCUUGUUGGUGGGGUAAUGGCCUACCAAGGCGUCGACGGGUAGCCGGCCUGAGAGGGUGGACGGCCACAUUGGGACUGAGAUACGGCCCAGACUCCUACGGGAGGCAGCAGUGGGGAAUAUUGGACAAUGGGCGCAAGCCUGAUGCAGCGACGCCGCGUGGGGGAUGACGGCCUUCGGGUUGUAAACUCCUUUCAGCCAUGACGAAGCCUUCGGGUGACGGUAGUGGUAGAAGAAGCACCGGCUAACUACGUG